ACUCUCUGUGCGUGGCUUCUUCAGAGUUCCCCUAUAACAAUGCUGGUGCUUAUUGGCCAGGAAUUCAUCGCAGGGACCGCCGAGACGGUGAUAUUUUACCCACCUCUCCACAGCAACACCCCUGGACCAAUACUGCGUGGACUUCCUUUCGUCUCUGCGCCACUGGGCCUUCUUCGUCCAGGGGUGUCUUGGGUGUGUCCAUCGAUGAAUUCUGAUCCUGGGUCCAGG
Non-coding RNA from Pelobates cultripes (western spadefoot toad), 228 nucleotides. NCBI's taxonomy places the organism in Eukaryota, Metazoa, Chordata, Amphibia, Anura, Pelobatidae. The record is from the annotation of a GenBank genome assembly.